This 299-nucleotide unclassified non-coding RNA is filed under the name uncultured fungus. RNAcentral's name for it is "partial contains 5.8S ribosomal RNA, internal transcribed spacer 2, and large subunit ribosomal RNA". The stretch from base 1 to 52 matches the Rfam family "5.8S ribosomal RNA", at positions 103 to 154 of the family's 154-position model. The record is from RNAcentral. Lineage: Eukaryota; Fungi.
AACGCACAUUGCGCCCUCUGGUAUUCCGGAGGGCAUGCCUGUUUGAGUGUCAUUAAUCUCUCACGGAGACCUUUGGUCUCUGUCGAAGUUGGGAGCUGCGAAAUCCGAAAGGUUGACGCUCUCCUCAAAUGCAUUGGUGCGGCCCGCCGCCCGGUUUACACAACGUUCUAGGUUCGUCCAACUCGUUGCCUGGCCGGUGCAAUCUUGGUGCUGCACCUAAAGCCCGCCUCGUGCCUCGUGCUCUUGGCAUAUCUUCAUUUAUUGACCUCAGAUCAGGUAGGAAUACGCGCUGAACUUAA